GAAGCCCGCCAGACCACCGCUGGUGCAAUCUGGGAAACCAGGCACUGGAGGAACGUCCGGACUGCAUAGGGCAGCGUAGCAGUUAACGACUGUCCACCGACAAGCUGUGCACGCAAGUGCAUGGCCCUAAGGUGAGGAUUAGAGCAACAGAGACGAGCCGCUUAAGUGCGGGUGAAACGGGCAAUCUCUACGCGCAGCAAUACCAAGUAGGCCAACGUUGACGGGGCCCCCGGAGUUGGCGGGUAGGUAGCAUCGAGCCGUUUGGGUGACCAGCGGCCCAGAGUAAUGGUGGUCACGUGCGGGGAAACCCGCACGCACAGAAUCCGGCUUAUCGGUGGGCUUCACAC
RNAcentral lists this RNase P RNA (347 nucleotides) under Rhodoferax sp. RNAcentral describes it as "RNase P RNA component class A". It matches the Rfam family "Bacterial RNase P class A". From Rfam's summary of the family: Ribonuclease P (RNase P) is a ubiquitous endoribonuclease, found in archaea, bacteria and eukarya as well as chloroplasts and mitochondria. Its best characterised activity is the generation of mature 5'-ends of tRNAs by cleaving the 5'-leader elements of precursor-tRNAs. The record is from RNAcentral. Lineage: Bacteria; Pseudomonadati; Pseudomonadota; Betaproteobacteria; Burkholderiales; Comamonadaceae. RNAcentral also lists the same sequence under 5 other names.